GUCGCCAGCUCGUGUCGUGAGAUGUUCGGUUAAGUCCGCUAACGAGCGCAACCCUCGUCGUAUGUUAUAUGUGUCAUACGAGACUGCCGGUAAAAAGCCGGAGGAAGGUGAGGAUGAUGUCAAGUCAGCAUGACCUUUAUAUCCAGGGCUACACACACGCUACAAUGGUCUGUACAAUGGGUAGCCAAGCCGCGAGGCGGAGCCAAUCCUGAAAGCAGGCCUCAGUUCAGAUUGCAGUCUGCAACUCGACUGCAUGAAGCCGGAGUUGCUAGUAACCGCAGGUCAGCAAUACUGCGGUGAAUACGUUCCCGGGUCUU
RNAcentral lists this ribosomal RNA (317 nucleotides) under uncultured Anaerolineaceae bacterium. RNAcentral's name for it is "bacterial SSU rRNA". It matches the Rfam family "Bacterial small subunit ribosomal RNA", at positions 1051 to 1382 of the family's 1533-position model. Lineage: Bacteria; Bacillati; Chloroflexota; Anaerolineae; Anaerolineales; Anaerolineaceae. The record is from RNAcentral.